Molecule: small nuclear RNA, 102 nt
Organism: Cathartes aura (turkey vulture)
Lineage: Eukaryota; Metazoa; Chordata; Aves; Accipitriformes; Cathartidae
Source: Rfam
AUGCUUUGGCACCAUGCGUGGUGAAAUUGGAACGAGGGAGAAGAUUAGCACAGCCCUUGUGUAAGGAUGACAAGCAGAUUGCCUGAGUAUUUUCUAGGGAAU